AUUGAACGCUGGCGGCAUGCCUUACACAUGCAAGUCGAACGGCAGCACGGGUGCUUGCACCUGGUGGCGAGUGGCGAACGGGUGAGUAAUACAUCGGAACAUGUCCUGUAGUGGGGGAUAGCCCGGCGAAAGCCGGAUUAAUACCGCAUACGAUCUACGGAUGAAAGCGGGGGACCUUCAGGCCUCGCGCUAUAGGGUUGGCCGAUGGCUGAUUAGCUAGUUGGUGGGGUAAAGGCCUACCAAGGCGGCGAUCAGUAGCUGGUCUGAGAGGACGACCAGCCACACUGGAACUGAGACACGGCCCAGACUCCUACGGGAGGCAGCAGUGGGGAAUUUUGGACAAUGGGGGAAAGCCUGAUCCAGCAAUGCCGCGUGUGUGAAGAAGGCCUUCGGGUUGGAAAGCACUUUUGUCCGGAAAGAAAUCCUUGGCCCUAAUACGGUCGGGGGAUGACGGUACCGGAAGAAUAAGCACCGGCUAACUACGUG
RNAcentral lists this ribosomal RNA (486 nucleotides) under uncultured bacterium. RNAcentral's name for it is "partial 16S ribosomal RNA". It matches the Rfam family "Bacterial small subunit ribosomal RNA", at positions 30 to 507 of the family's 1533-position model. The record is from RNAcentral.